Molecule: unclassified non-coding RNA, 234 nt
Filed under: plant metagenome
Description: partial contains small subunit ribosomal RNA, internal transcribed spacer 1, and 5.8S ribosomal RNA
Rfam family: Eukaryotic small subunit ribosomal RNA (bases 1-53)
Source: RNAcentral
GGAGUAAAAGUCGUAACAAGGUUUCCGUAGGUGAACCCGCGGAAGGAUCAUUCAUAAUAAGUGUUUUAUGGCACUUUUUUAAAUCCAUAUCCACCUUGUGUGCAAUGUCAGGGUUGAUUUUUCUCUCGAGAGGAUCAACCCCAAACAUCAACUAUAUCUCAACUCUUUGUCUGAAAAAUAUUAUGAAUAAAACAAUUCAAAAUACAACUUUCAACAACGGAUCUCUUGGCUCUC